RNAcentral lists this small RNA (1146 nucleotides) under Pan troglodytes (chimpanzee). RNAcentral describes it as "retained intron". The record is from RNAcentral. Lineage: Eukaryota; Metazoa; Chordata; Mammalia; Primates; Hominidae.
AGUACCUUGGUCCAGCUCUUCCUGCAACGGCCCAGGAGCUCAGAGCUCCACGUCUGACCUUCUAGUCAUGACCAGGACCAGGGCAGCACUCCUCCUGUUCACAGCCUUAGCAACUUCUCUAGGUUUCAACUUGGACACAGAGGAGCUGACAGCCUUCCGUGUGGACAGCGCUGGGUUUGGAGACAGCGUGGUCCAGUAUGCCAACUCCUGGGUGGUGGUUGGAGCCCCCCAAAAGAUAACAGCUGCCAACCAAACGGGUGGCCUCUACCAGUGUGUCUACAGCACUGGUGCCUGUGAGCCCAUCAGCCUGCAGGUGCCCCCGGAGGCCGUGAACAUGUCCCUGGGCCUGUCCCUGGCGUCUACCACCAGCCCUUCCCAGCUGCUGGUGAGUGGCCCUGGGUCACAGGAGGCUUCUGAGGGAGGGAGGGAGGAGCCGGGGCCGCGGGGGGCUGGGAGUCUCCUGUAGGGUGGAGGUGCCGGAAUGUGAGGGUGGGAGGAAGCAGGGGCAGCCCCCCAGCAGCCCGCUGUGUCCCCAGGCCUGCGGCCCCACCGUGCACCACGCGUGCGGGAGGAACAUGUACCUCACCGGACUCUGCUUCCUCCUGGGCCCCACCCAGCUCACCCAGAGGCUCCCGGUGUCCAGGCAGGGUGAGUGUCGGGACCACCAAGGCUUUGAGGAGCUCACGCACAUCCAAUUGGGGGUGCGGUGGGCUAGAGACAGUCUUGCCAGAGUGGAUCAGAAAGAAGGGAUCUGGAAAAAGAGUUACCACGUGUUGCAGUGGUUCCUGACGCUGCUGCCCGCACAUCCUGCCGGUCGCCCGCACGCUGCCGGACCUUUCCUGUGACCUUAACCUCUCCAAGCCUCAGUUUCUUCAUCUGUUGGAUGGGGAUAAUAACACACCCAGCACUGAAAGCAACACAGGAUGAUUCAUGGCCAGGGGUUAGCACAGCAGCUAGCACCAGGCGACAGCCCCAUGAAGGCCAGCUGUUGUUAUUUUUAGAGGAGAGGAGCUAUUUUCAUCCAAUGGGUCCUGGGAUAUGACCAAUUGGUUUGUGCCGUAGUUUAGGAAAGGUCAGUGAAAGUGCAGUGUGAGCAACGUGUGUGUGUGUACAUGUGUGUAUAUGUAUGCACGUGUACACAUGUGC